RNAcentral lists this ribosomal RNA (253 nucleotides) under uncultured bacterium. RNAcentral describes it as "partial 16S ribosomal RNA". It matches the Rfam family "Bacterial small subunit ribosomal RNA", at positions 524 to 776 of the family's 1533-position model. The record is from RNAcentral.
UACGUAGGGUGCGAGCGUUGUCCGGAAUUACUGGGCGUAAAGAGCUCGUAGGUGGUUUGUCGCGUUGUCCGUGAAAACUCACAACUCAAUUGUGGGCGUGCGGGCGAUACGGGCAGACUGGAGUACUGCAGGGGAGACUGGAAUUCCUGGUGUAGCGGUGGAAUGCGCAGAUAUCAGGAGGAACACCGAUGGCGAAGGCAGAUCUCUGGGCCGUAACUGACGCUGAGGAGCGAAAGCGUGGGGAGCGAACAGG